Molecule: ribosomal RNA, 1753 nt
Filed under: Campylobacter jejuni
Lineage: Bacteria; Pseudomonadati; Campylobacterota; Epsilonproteobacteria; Campylobacterales; Campylobacteraceae
Description: partial 23S ribosomal RNA
Rfam family: Bacterial large subunit ribosomal RNA
Source: RNAcentral
AGGUAAGCUACUAAGAGCGAAUGGUGGAUGCCUUGACUGGUAAAGGCGAUGAAGGACGUACUAGACUGCGAUAAGCUACGGGGAGCUGUCAAGAAGCUUUGAUCCGUAGAUUUCCGAAUGGGGCAACCCAAUGUAUAGAGAUAUACAUUACCUAUAUAGGAGCGAACGAGGGGAAUUGAAACAUCUUAGUACCCUCAGGAAAAGAAAUCAAUAGAGAUUGCGUCAGUAGCGGCGAGCGAAAGCGCAAGAGGGCAAACCCAGUGCUUGCACUGGGGGUUGUAGGACUGCAAUGUGCAAGAGGUAAGUUUAGCAGAACAUUCUGGAAAGUAUAACCAUAGAGGGUGAUAGUCCCGUAUGCGAAAAACAAACCUUAGCUAGCAGUAUCCUGAGUAGGGCGGGACACGAGGAAUCCUGUCUGAAUCCGGGUCGACCACGAUCCAACCCUAAAUACUAAUACCAGAUCGAUAGUGCACAAGUACCGUGAGGGAAAGGUGAAAAGAACUGAGGUGAUCAGAGUGAAAUAGAACCUGAAACCAUUUGCUUACAAUCAUUCAGAGCCCUAUGUAGGAAUACAGGGUGAUGGACUGCCUUUUGCAUAAUGAGCCUGCGAGUUGUGGUGUCUGGCAAGGUUAAGCAAACGCGAAGCCGUAGCGAAAGCGAGUCUGAAUAGGGCGCUUAGUCAGAUGCUGCAGACCCGAAACGAAGUGAUCUAUCCAUGAGCAAGUUGAAGCUAGUGUAAGAACUAGUGGAGGACUGAACCCAUAGGCGUUGAAAAGCCCCGGGAUGACUUGUGGAUAGGGGUGAAAGGCCAAUCAAACUUCGUGAUAGCUGGUUCUCUCCGAAAUAUAUUUAGGUAUAGCGUUGUGUCGUAAUAUAAGGGGGUAGAGCACUGAAUGGGCUAGGGCAUACACCAAUGUACCAAACCCUAUCAAACUCCGAAUACCUUAUAUGUAAUCACAGCAGUCAGGCGGCGAGUGAUAAAAUCCGUCGUCAAGAGGGAAACAACCCAGACUACCAGCUAAGGUCCCUAAAUCUUACUUAAGUGGAAAACGAUGUGAAGUUACUUAAACAACCAGGAGGUUGGCUUAGAAGCAGCCAUCCUUUAAAGAAAGCGUAAUAGCUCACUGGUCUAGUGAUUUUGCGCGGAAAAUAUAACGGGGCUAAAGUAAGUACCGAAGCUGUAGACUUAGUUUACUAAGUGGUAGGAGAGCGUUCUAUUUGCGUCGAAGGUAUACCGGUAAGGAGUGCUGGAGCGAAUAGAAGUGAGCAUGCAGGCAUGAGUAGCGAUAAUUAAUGUGAGAAUCAUUAACGCCGUAAACCCAAGGUUUCCUACGCGAUGCUCGUCAUCGUAGGGUUAGUCGGGUCCUAAGUCGAGUCCGAAAGGGGUAGACGAUGGCAAAUUGGUUAAUAUUCCAAUACCAACAUUAGUGUGCGAUGGAAGGACGCUUAGGGCUAAGGGGGCUAGCGGAUGGAAGUGCUAGUCUAAGGUCGUAGGAGGUUGUACAGGCAAAUCCGUAUAACAAUACUCCGAGAACUGAAAGGCUUUUUGAAGUCUUCGGAUGGAUAGAAGAACCCCUGAUGCCGUCGAGCCAAGAAAAGUUUCUAAGUUUAGCUAAUGUUGCCCGUACCGUAAACCGACACAGGUGGGUGGGAUGAGUAUUCUAAGGCGCGUGGAAGAACUCUCUUUAAGGAACUCUGCAAAAUAGCACCGUAUCUUCGGUAUAAGGUGUGGUUAGCUUCGUACUAGGAUUUA